Long non-coding RNA from Melospiza melodia melodia, 475 nucleotides. RefSeq lists it as uncharacterized. The record is from RefSeq and is a predicted model, not a curated record. NCBI's taxonomy places the organism in Eukaryota, Metazoa, Chordata, Aves, Passeriformes, Passerellidae. The transcript has 3 exons.
CGCCGCUGAGUGCCGGGGGCGGGGCAAGGACGCCGCUGCCGAGCGAGGGAAGGGCGAGGGGCGGGAGCUUGCGGUGGUCGGGCCAGGGUCUGUGCUGGACAGUGGGAGAAAGGUCCGUGCUGGUUGCUGUGUCCUCGGUGAGCAGAGAGCUCUGACCUUGGCCGCAUGGGCUGCUGAGUGCUGGAACAAUGGGGAUGCGCUUUUAUUUAUUUAGUGACCUUUACAGAUUUAUUCCCCUGUUUCAGGACAGCGUGAAGACUGAAAAUGUAAGAAGAUGUGGAGGGAAACAGAGAAUCUGACAGUAGCAUCGAACGUACAAGUGCACGAAUUUUGCUUUUUUGCUUGGAUUUAAACUCCGAAGUUGUAAGGAAUUUGGGAAUGAGAAGGGACCUUUCAGAAGAAGAAGGAGUUGUUGUUACAGUCCUGGCAAAAGCCUUUGUUCUAGCUAAUAAAAGAAGUUAGUGAAGAAAAAAAA